RNAcentral lists this ribosomal RNA (620 nucleotides) under Stenotrophomonas maltophilia. RNAcentral's name for it is "bacterial SSU rRNA". It matches the Rfam family "Bacterial small subunit ribosomal RNA", at positions 107 to 724 of the family's 1533-position model. Lineage: Bacteria; Pseudomonadati; Pseudomonadota; Gammaproteobacteria; Lysobacterales; Lysobacteraceae. The record is from RNAcentral.
UGAGGAAUACAUCGGAAUCUACUCUGUCGUGGGGGAUAACGUAGGGAAACUUACGCUAAUACCGCAUACGACCUACGGGUGAAAGCAGGGGAUCUUCGGACCUUGCGCGAUUGAAUGAGCCGAUGUCGGAUUAGCUAGUUGGCGGGGUAAAGGCCCACCAAGGCGACGAUCCGUAGCUGGUCUGAGAGGAUGAUCAGCCACACUGGAACUGAGACACGGUCCAGACUCCUACGGGAGGCAGCAGUGGGGAAUAUUGGACAAUGGGCGCAAGCCUGAUCCAGCCAUACCGCGUGGGUGAAGAAGGCCUUCGGGUUGUAAAGCCCUUUUGUUGGGAAAGAAAUCCAGCUGGCUAAUACCUGGUUGGGAUGACGGUACCCAAAGAAUAAGCACCGGCUAACUUCGUGCCAGCAGCCGCGGUAAUACGAAGGGUGCAAGCGUUACUCGGAAUUACUGGGCGUAAAGCGUGCGUAGGUGGUCGUUUAAGUCCGUUGUGAAAGCCCUGGGCUCAACCUGGGAACUGCAGUGGAUACUGGGCGACUAGAGUGUGGUAGAGGGUAGCGGAAUUUCCUGGUGUAGCAAUGAAAUGCGUAGAGAUCAGAGGACAUCCAUGGCGAAGGCAG